Molecule: ribosomal RNA, 240 nt
Filed under: uncultured bacterium
Lineage: Bacteria
Description: partial 16S ribosomal RNA
Rfam family: Bacterial small subunit ribosomal RNA
Source: RNAcentral
UACGUAGGGGGCAAGCGUUGUCCGGAAUCAUUGGGCGUAAAGAGCGUGUAGGCGGCUCGGUAAGUCCGCUGUGAAAGUCCAGGGCUCAACCCUGGAAUGCCGGUGGAAACUGUUGAGCUAGAGUCCGGAAGAGGCGAGUGGAAUUCCGUGGUGUAGCGGUGAAAUGCGCAGAUAUCAGGAGGAACACCAAUGGCGAAGGCAGCUCGCUGGGACGGUACUGACGCUGAGACGCGAAAGCGU